This 2353-nucleotide long non-coding RNA is filed under the name Lupinus angustifolius (narrow-leaved blue lupine). RNAcentral's name for it is "long non-coding RNA (LANG_LNC001853)". The record is from RNAcentral. Lineage: Eukaryota; Viridiplantae; Streptophyta; Magnoliopsida; Fabales; Fabaceae.
UACAAUUGGACUGUAAGAGGCUAUAAGAUGUUUAAAAAGACAUGAAGGCUCAUAAAAGACAACAUCCCUAGAUAAGAAAAUCAUUAGAUUGAACUUCAUACAACACAAAACCCUUGGUCCCUUAUCUAAGUCCAAUAAAGGCACACUUUUUAGCUCUAGGUGCAAAUUUGUUCCUAGGAGAUUGUAUUGUGUUACAAAAAUAAGGCAACCGAAGCCCUUUCAUUUCUUGAACUUAUUGUAUGUUUCACUCAUGCUUUGUUUCUAACAAAGCAACUCUUCGUUCACCUCCUUUAAUUAUCAUCAUCAAUCAUUACACGUGUAGCUAUCUCUUUCAUGCCUAUAUGUUUGUUCUGUAAUGUUAACAAUUUGGUAAGGGUUUCAUUUGAGGUUUCUGGGUUUGGAAGGUAAUUUUUCUCCCUUCCGUUAAUAUUUAGAGAUGGCAAAACGGGCCGCCCUUCCGUUUCUGGGUUUGGAAUGUUGUAAGUUGAAAUUAUGGAGGAUAAGAGACUUAAAAUAGCUGUCCUCUUACCCGUUACUGAUUAGGCCCUACAAUUCAAUCUCCUAUCCGUUAGGCUAUAAACGAAGUAGGUGGUGCAAAUUUCUUAAGGCUUUGCAAAAGCCUGAGACGGGAAGAGAUCAAAUUCAGCAUUAGAUAAAUUCAUUAGUAUGGUAACUACAUGAUAUCUGUUGAGGAUUACUUUUAUUAAGAUUUAAGUAGGGGUAUUUGAUUGAUGAAAAUUCAGAAAUAGCAAGGACAACAUAAUUUACUAUAUUUCCAAGUGAUUUAAAACCUGUUACAAAUCCAAUCGAAUCAGCAUGACUUGGAUGCAACUAAGUGAAAAAGAAAAUCAAACCACACUUCUAACAAUUUUCUCAAUAUUAGGAAGUAGAUUUUUAUGGGAGCAAUUUGCCUCAAUGCAUAAAACUAAUGAAUUGAUUCUAAGCUAAGAGAGGAAAUGUUAUGACAAUGUGAAUUCUGAAUACUACAAUAGUCAUGUAUUACUUGAUGCUAUUUUUGUUGCUUAAUGUUAGUUAAUGCUAUUUUUGUUGUUGUUAGGGUGAUAAAGUACAAGUUAUAGUGAAGAAUUAUCAAAUAUCACAAUGAGAGCCACAACUCUAGGACGACAUAAGUUACAUUGCUAAGAAUUUUGACAUUGUUCCUAAUGAGGGACAAUAUAGAGGUUCAAAUCACUAGUUUAAGUUAAUAUUCCAGAAGGGGAUAAUCAUGGAAAACAACCAACUCUCAGAAAUUCCUCUUUAUGUUUAUAGAUUUACUACCAUUGAAGACAUCUUAAAUGUUGUUGCUACAAAUGAUGUUUUAGUUGGUAAUUUUUAGUUUACUCUUUGCUUCCUCCUACUAUAUUUUAACCCAUUGGUUAGUUACGUAGCUGCUAUUUUGAUUAUGUUGGCCUUGGACAAUUGUUUUAUAGGUGUUAUUGGUGAGGUUGUUGAUAUGGAGAUGUGCCAACUAUAUUCCUUUCAGAAGAAGGUAUUCUUCAUAAUGUGAGACCAAAAGUAUAUCCAUUUUCAGUAAAUCAAUGUUUUCUAACUACCUACCGUUAGAAAAAAGUGUAUUGAAAUGUUUUUUUUUUUUGCAGGGAAAUAGUGUCAGUUGUUCUUUGUGGGACCAAUUUGCAUCCCAGCUACUUAAAUAUGAGGAGGAUCACAAAUUCGGUCCAAUUAUUGUGAUACUGAUGCUUGCAAAAAUCAGAGAAGCCAGUGGUAAGUUUGUAGUCAGAGCUUAUAUUUUACAGUCCUAUAUAGUCUACUAAUAUUAUUGUACAUAAUGUUUAGGAGGUUGUCCUCUCAUUAUUCAAAAUAUUAUGUAUGGUUCAAAGCUUGUUAUAAAUGACACCAAUAUUCAAUAAAUCCAACUUUUCAGUAGCAGGUAUUGUUAGUUAUCUGUUCUUCCAUUGACUUUUUGCAUCCUCUGUUUUAUUUAUAAUUGUACCUUGUCAAUUUAGUUAAUCAUAUUUUUUUGUUGUAGCUUGGACACUAGUAAAUCAUAUGGAUCAUACGGUUAGCCUUUGAGUCAGUCAUCUUCCCGCUCUCUAGGUGGAUCGUAGGACAAGUUCUUUCAUAAUGUUGUUGUCAAAACAAUUGGUGAGAUAUUCAUGUUACAUGAAGUUCUUCCAAGGUCUUAGUUUUAAUUGUAUUUCAAAAUGUCUCUAUUAUUUAUAAUGUACAUGUCUUUGAUUUUUAAAAAUUGAUUAUUGUUUGGCAGGUAUAGAGUAGAGGUUCGAGUUAGCUAUGGUGAUGACAUCAUGACGUUUGUUUUAUGCUUUGUGCUUCUCUUUUUCCACAACAUUAACUGUGACAUUCCAACCCCUUUCAUUAUUUUUAAACCGAUAAA